GGAAGGUGCAUGGGCUGGGGGUGGCCAUCCUUCCAUCUGCAUGAGGUCUGUAGGCAAGGGUCUGCCUAGAAAGCGGGUAAUUUAAGCAGAAGGAGAUAAAUCUAAGCCAAAAAGACAAAGGGACGCACAAAGAGCUUGCAGGAGAGGAAGGCUGUGCAGUCUGCAGGUCCUAUAAUUUCCUUUCGAGCAGUAACAGAAGCAGAGCUGAGCUGCAAGAAUAAAACUAACUCCCUUCACAGUGGGUGACCCCUCACUUCAUCCCCAAAGCAGCCUUGGUGCCUGGGGACCACCUUCCAGUCCCAUCCAAUUCUGCUCUCCCACCCCUGUGGGUGUCUUUCAGUCCUGAAAGGAGUGUAAGUGGGGAAGGGGGCCCCAGGCUUAGGAGGAAGUGGUGUGUGCCUCAGAUUUCUGGAAUGUUGGCCACAGCACCCCACUGACUUUCCAUCUCUGGUCCAGUUUGGUGCCCUCAGCUGGCUCCUCCCCAUCUCCUGCAUCUACCAUCCCCGGCUGCCCUGAGUAUCCAAGUUACAGCCCCCAGUCCCCAGCAGGCCUCCUCCUUUCAUAAUGUAAUCCCACAGCUGUAAAUAGUUCCCCAGGUGUGGGCUUCUCCCUCCAGCUGCCUUGGGCUACUUUCCUUCUUCCUGGGGAAACUAUUUACCCUUAGGAGAUUAAAAAAAAAGGGGGAAAAAGGCCUUCCC
RNAcentral lists this long non-coding RNA (698 nucleotides) under Marmota monax (woodchuck). The record is from RNAcentral. Lineage: Eukaryota; Metazoa; Chordata; Mammalia; Rodentia; Sciuridae.